UGGUGUGGUUGGUACGGGAACUAGUGAAGAGUGGGGUUCUGGGAGCUGAUGGUGUUUGCAUGACAUUUAUGAAGCAGAUUGCAGGUGAGUUGAAAGUCAAGAGCAUAAAGAAGAAAGAGAGCGCUGGGGUUGUGGCUCAGUGGUGGAGCGCUUGCCUCCCACUGUGAGGCAUGGGGAUCAAUCCUCUACACCACAUAAAAAUAAAUACAUAAAUAAAGGUAUUGCAUCCAUCUACAACUAAAAAUAUUUAAGAAGAAAGGAGAGGAGCCCAGAGACUAAGGCUAGGCAAUAAAGACUGAUUAAGCACCCAUGGAACCUGAUUCCUGGGUUACUUAGGCUCUUUCUUUCUGAUACAGACAUCUGGCUUCAUGUGUUUCAGGAAGAAAUUGGUUGAAAAAUCACAGGAGCCCUUUUGAAGCAAUAAGUUUUGCUUUGUUUUCUUUCCUGUCAAAUCUAAAGCCUAGCAGAAUAUUUGACCUAUUUUAGCCAGGCUUCAUUCUGGGUUUUUGUGGCAUAUUGAAUCAGGAAGGAAUGAGGAGAAAAUUAAGGGGAAAUAAUUCAUCCCUGUAUUAUUAUGCUUUCAGAAAUCUAGACAUCUUCCCUGGCUCCACCCCUGUGUUCUGAACAAUUGCUCCCUAAUAAUUAUGACAACUGAUUGGGACCAGUCUGAGGGACAAAGGAUGUUACAGAACAGACCCUGACAUUUAGGUUUUAUUAUCAUCUUGGCAUUGGUGACAUCUGUCUGAGCCAAUGAAUAUGGAAGAGGCCUGCCUGAGCUUCCUCUUUUACUCUCAAGAUUGUGUGUGUGUUUAAAAAACUACCCUCCUGUUUUACCUCAUUAUUUGCCCAUUGCUGCUUGGCUUUCUCUUUAGGAUUUUAUAUAACACUGAUGCCCCUGUUUGGUGUGUUUGAACCAUUGUCUGUGUGAUAUGUGACUAUGUGAACAUCGAAAUGUUUAAUUGGGACUUAGUGCAAGGUAUAGCAGUGUUGUGCUGGUUAUUUUUAUCCUUUCUCCAGCACUUUCUUCCCUAUUUGGGCCUCCUAGCUCCCACUUCUUAUCCCAAGACUUUGGUCUGGCAUUGCUGCAUAUUAAUUCUGCCCCAGGAAGUUCCAUAGCAAGAACUGAAGACUGAUACCUGGAAACAAGAAACCCUUGGCUUGUUGUGAGCUUGAGCACAGGGAACAUCCAGAUGCUGGAUUGCAGCUGUUGCCAGCCGCCCGCACCUCUCAGGCCCUUUUUGAGACAUCAUCCUUUCUUUCCAACCAUGGGAUUCCUUUUCAAGGGCCAGCGUGUUCCCACUCAAGUUUCCAGUCUGGAAAAGCAACAGCUCUGGUUUCUAGAAAAAUUCAGAACAGGGGCUGGGGUUGUGGCUCAGUGGUAGAGCGCUUGCCUAGCAUGCAUGAGGCACUGGGUUCGAUCCUCAGCACCACAUAAAAAUAAAAUAAUGUGUCCACCUAAAACUAAAAAAAUACAUAAAUAAAUAAAUAUUAAAAAGAAAAGAAAAGAAAAAUUCAGAACAUUCCCUUCUCUUCUUCUCUCUGGAGGCAAAGGGAAUUUUUUAAAAAUCGGAUGGAAAAGAAGACAAUUUAUCCUAACACUCAGGAUAACAGUGAUGGGAUAACAGGGUAGACCAGCAAGAUGAGUGAAGAGAUGGAUUAGCUAAGUUGCUAAUUAGAGCUACUGUAUUCUGAUUCUUCCCCCCCUACUUUUUUUUUUCCAUCAGGUGGAGAUGUUACAGCCAAAAAUAUCUGGUUGGCAGAAAGUGUUCUGGAUAUCCUCACGGAGCAGAGGUAGAGUCCAUCAUGAAGGGUGGGGCAAGAACCAGAUAUGACCAGAAAGCAUAUGAGUGUGGGAAGUGGAGAAGAGAGGACUGUGUGACCCUAAAACACCUUAGGUUAGAGAGGAGGAAGCCAGCAUCAAGUGGGGGAGGCGACCAUAUUGAUGGCAAGUAAAGAAAUUAAUGCUGUAGUGUGGCCCAAGGGAUAAAGGAGUGGGAAAGAAGGGCCUGUUUUCUGAGCCCAGGAAAAACCAGUUUCAUCUGAUAAGGGUUUAUUUUUGAUCCAGACCUCCUUGGAAUGUUUAUCUUUGGAGGGGAGGUAGGGGAAGAAUGAGCUCAACAGAGCGGGACCAGCCAGCCACCCAGGCUUGGCAGGUACCUCUUCUCCCUUCCAAACUUCUCAAACACACUGUUUUUGAAGUGGUUCGGAUGGCAGCAGGGGUAGGGAGGUAAUAGAGAUCCUGAUCCCCCAUAGAGGGCUUGGAGCCUCCAGUGGUAGAGAGAGGCAUAUAGGGCUUUCUGGCUGAUUCUUUCCCUUCCUCAUCAAACUGAAGGACCAGAAAUUUUAUGAGGACUAUUCCAUUUCUGAAUUUGUUUGGGAAUGAGGUCUUCCUCCUUGGUCCUGUGGCCCCAGUCUUCAUUUUGCUUAUUUUUUGAGUCUCUCUGGAUAAGAACACCAUAGUAGUAAGAUUCUUGAGAGUGCUGAUAGUGUUCAUAUUGUCCACAUUUUCAAAGAAUGGACCUCCUCCCAUGAUUCACACUUGUGCUGCCUACUGCCAAGCCUGAGAGCCACGCAGGCCAGCUGUGCAGUGCCACCUAGUGCCCUGGCACAGAUGUGCAGCUGCACUGAAUCUGGCAACAUGACACCAGCAUGGGCAAGAUCUUAACAGUUUCUUGCCAGGUUUCUGCUUCUCUUAGGUAUCAUAUUUCUUUUUUUGGGGGGGGCGGGGGGGCGGGGAUUACCAGGAAUUGAACUCUGGGGCAUGCUACCACUGAGCCACAUCUCCAGCCCUAUUUUGUAUUUUAUUUAGAGACAGGGUCUCACUGAGUUGCUUAGCGCCUUGUCAUUGCUGAGGCUGACUUUGAACUCACGAUCCUCCUAUCUCAGCUUCUGGUGCUGCUGGGAUUACAGGUGUGUGCCACUGCACCCAGCAAAUAUCAGUAUUUAUUUAAUGUCCUGGAUUAGAAGGCCUCACUUGCAUCCCUCUUUCUCUUUCUUAUGCCAUUCUACAAUUCAGAUAUGUUUGUCAUUCCUGUUAAUAAUGUUCUUGAAAAGCUAUUUUUCUCAUUUUAUUCCUGGUUCCAGAUGUAUCCUGUCCCCUUGCCUUAAAGCUGAAUUUCCCAUAUAGGUGUCAAAUAACAGCUUGGUAACUUUCCCUACUCUCCAGAAACUCACAUUUUUUGGUAAAAGAUAGUACUUCAAAGUUUAAACUGUCUUCCUCCAUACCUUCCUUCUCACACCCUUCCAAAUGUUUUCAGGCUGUAGGGGUAAAAGGUAACUGGGAGCAGGGCUCAUGUCCUUGGCUAGUGUUUUCUUUCUUUCUUUCUUUUUUUUUUUUUCUUGAAAGGAAAAUGCCAGAUUCUUUUAAUUAGGUGACUUGAGCACAUUUCCAGAAUCAGGAUGUUGCCUGGUUGGAUUAAUUAAACUCACUGUCGUCUUCCUCCAGUUGGCCUUCCAGCAGGGAUGCCAAAGCCAUUACAAACUCUUUGCUUGGCGGAUACUACUCCACAGAAGUAGCACAAGAAACAGCAUUGGGGAUUUUAGGAAUCUUCCCACUGUGUUUUUCUCUCUACCCCUUUUAAAGUAGCAGGGAACAAGUAAUUCUUUCAUUACUCUGUUUUCCCCAGGGAAAUUCUAAAACUCCUGGGAAAAUGAGCUUUGCCAUCCAGAAUCAGGUUCUUUUUUCAGAUUAUGAUUUAGAGCAGGUGACUCAUUGUCUGAGGGUGGGGUCAGCAGCUAGCGAGUCAGGGAAAGGUUUGUGGUGUGGUAAACUGUUAGUGACAAGUGUGACAGAAGGGCUAGCAUGGUGUGUUCUGAGAACUCCUGGUCCUGAAAAGGGUCUUGGAAAUCCCCAGAGAUCCUGGCACCACACUUAAGAACUAUUGACUUAACAGAACUUUCCCCACAGAUGAACUGGGAGAAACGGUUCAUCUCUGACCCUAGUACCUCACACAUUGCUUGGCACAUGAUAGGCACUCAGUAAAUGUUUGAAUAGGUGAGUCAAUGUACAAAGUUAUUUUAUUGGAAGCUACAUAAGUGGUUACAUGGUAAGAAAAGAUUUUUUUCCUUUUGGCAUCUAUUUUUAUUGGUUGCCAAAUAGAGAAAAUUAGGAAGUUGUCCUUCUCUUAGCUAGUUGAUAGUUUUGAGAUAACAGCCUAAGCAAGCAAGCAGAAAAACAAAGAACCUCCUCCCAGUGUGUGAGCAUCAAACAUUAUUGAGUUGCUGGAGCCGAGUUUAAGCGGGUGAUUGGGAGUGUGCGUAGGUCUACGACAGAGUACAGGUGCAGUGUCUUUCCCUCCUGCAGGGAGUGGGUACUGAAGAGCAGCAUCCUCAUUGCCAUGGCUGUUUACACAUAUCUCCGUCUCAUCGUUGACCACCAUGGGACUGCCCAGCUCCAGGCCCUGCGGCAGAAGGAGGUGGACUUCUGCAUCUCGCUGCUUCGGGAACGGGUGAGGAAGUAGGAUAAGAUCAGUAUGGGGAAAUGAGACCCAGGAUGGGAUGCCCCUAUAGGUUUCAUGCACCAGGACUGGAGAUGCCUUUUCAGAUGUGGAAGUGGUUUAAAAUCUAGCAUUUUUCAUUGUCCUUAGAUAAGAGUAGAAUCUAAGGAGGGAGAAUCAGUGUGGAAUAACCCUUGUUCCUAGAAAUGCUAGCAUCCUGGGGAUUUUCCUGGUCACUGUCAAGGACACUGUUGUACAACAGACCCAAGCUGUUCUUUUGUAUACCCACUUAAGCUGUUCUGUCAUCCUACCACCUACCCAAGUAAUUGCCAUGGUCAUGUGGGAUUAUGAAUUGUCUGCUAUCAGAUCUCCCAAGAGAGAGAUCCUAGAAUUAAGUUAAUAUAAUGGCUGUUGACUACAUUUGGUAAUUUAUUAAUUAAUGUCAGAUUUUAAAGUUCCUUAAUUACCUUAGCCACAUGUUGCUAAUGGUAUUGUUUGGAAUGCAUAAAUGUAGAUCAUUUCCAUUACCACAAGAGGUUCUGUUGUACAAGAAUUUUGGGGUAGGGUGUCUGGGGCUCCACUUGCCUGUCCAAUAGUUUUGGAAUCUUAGUCUCUUUGAACUAAAUCAGAACAGUUCUGGGUGGAGAAGGGAAUAGAUUAGUGUGAAAGUCAGCAGGGCUUCAGCACUUCCCAGUAACUUUUCUUCCUUGGUAUCAGUCCCUAGCUUCCAGCUCUCUUCCAUAAACAGCUAGGAACCAAUCCCUUGGUUCUAGAAGAAAUCACAUAGUCCCUUCAACCUUCUUUCCUUCCCUCCCUGGAACAUGCUGUUCUUUUGUCCUCUCUCCAGAAGGUAAACAGUCUGUGUUUUUAUUCUCUUUCCUGUCCCCACUUCCUUCACCUCCUCACAUCAAGUUCAUGGAAUGUUUGAUGAUUGGCCGGGACCUUGUAAGACUACUUCAGAAUGUUGCUAGGAUACCAGAAUUUGAACUGCUUUGGAAAGAUAUUAUCCAUAACCCUCAGGCCUUGAGUCCUCAAUUUACAGGUAAGUAAGCCCUUGGGCAUCUUGUCCUUGAGAGAUGGCAAGUUAGCCUAUAUGUCCUAUAUUCAGAGGGCAGAGGUUGGUGGGUAGGACUGCCUUUGGCAAUCAGAGAAGGUUUGGGGCAGGGCAAGCUUUGCCAAGUACAGCUAGAUAUUGGAACCGCAGAAGUACUGAACAAUUCAUGUGAUUCCUAGACAGUCCCUGCUUGGCAGACUCCAGCUAUCAUUACUCCUAAGAAAAUAGUGAGAACUAUGAUCUUCUUCCUCUCCUGGAAGCUCCUUGGCUCAGGAGGUGAGCUGAUGACCAGUCUUUGACUUCAAUGAGUCUGGCAGGGAGUCAGAGGUCAACUCCAUGAGACUGAGUCAGCAGAGGAGCUAGAAUUAGUCCUGUAAGAGAUGGCCCCUCCCUGGAAGCAGUCUGGCCUCUUAAUUCCAAGGAUCCAACUUGGCCUAAAUCAUCUUUAGGGGAGAGAGUCUCUGUGUUCUUUCCCCUGACAUGGUCCUUUCAAUGUCCCUUUCCCUUUCCCAGAGCAAUAACUCUACAGCUUUGCUCCCUGGCCCACCUUUAAAGCACAUUCAUACAUAUGCACGCACACCUACAGAGCACUCUUCUAGAAUCUGAGAAGUGGGGAAAGUGCUGGUGCUACCUGAUAAUGCACUAUUCUUACAUCAAACAUGUCAGGUUACUUUGAGUGUCACCUCUAUGUUAGGCAUAUGUAUGUAAUUUAAACCUUAGAACAGCUCUAGAUUAUGGGUAUUUUAUUUCCCUUACAGUUGAAGAAACUGAGGUUCAAAAAAAGAAACGGAGCUGGACAUGGUAGCACACACCUAUAAUCCCAAUGACUCAGAAGGCUGAAGUAGGAGUAUUGAAAGUUCGAGGCCAGCCUGGGCAACCUAGCAAGACCCUGUCUCAAAAAUAAAAGGGCUUGGGCUGGGGAUAUAGCUCAGUUGGUACAGUGCUUAUCUCAGUUGGCCAGUGCAUGCACAAGGCCCUGGGUUCAAUCUCUAACACCACAAAAAAUAAAAAUGAUAGAUAGAUAGAUAGAUAGAUAGAUAGAUAGGCUGGGGAUGUGACUCAGUGGUAGAGCACCCUUAGGUUCUCUACCCCAGUAUCACCCCCUAAAAAAAAGAGAGAAAAUAAAAGAAACUGAGGUUCAAACAGGUUAAUUUGCUCAAGUGUAAGUGACAGGCAGGAUUUGGAUCAGGUUAUCCUGACUCCAGAGCUUAUGGUUAUGCUGCCACAUCACAUCCAUGCAAGGAUCAGGAGCAGGAAGACAAGCUAGAGUUUCCAUAUUUUUCUCUUAAUUUUCCCACCUGUUGCCAACUGCAAUAAUGGGGGUAGGGGACUCUGUAAAACCAGCAGAGGAAGGGAAUUAAUGUAACAGGAAUGUAGUUGGUUGGACAAAACGCACAGAUGCUAGUUAGAAUCCCCAUCUGUGUUGAUGCUUGGAAUUGCCUCAUGAACAAGACCACUGGCCAUCAGUACCUGGCCCAGUUUUCCCAUCUGUCUGCCAUUCCGUAGUUCUCAGGUUUCUCUCUUUUUUCUUCCCUAAAACACUUGGCUCAGGUAUCCUACAGCUUCUUCAGUCAAGAACAUCCCGAAAAUUCCUAGCAUGUCGUCUAACCCCAGAUAUGGAAACUAAGCUCCUCUUCAUGACAUCCCGGGUGAGCUCACCUAUUGCAACAGGAAGAGGAAUUGCAGGUGCUAGUUGGGCUUCUUGCUUCUGUCUGCAGAUCUGUUACUCUGAGUACUGAUCCACAGAGUGGUAGCUAAGUGGUAGCCCUUAUCCACAUGGCUACUGGCUUCUUUCCUUUGUUAAUUCUGUGCCUAUACACUGUGCUCAGUGCUAAGAAUUGGAGAUAAGGGUUGAAUAAGAGAGAUGCAGUUCUAGCUCUGUGAAGCUUUCAGUCUAUCUAAAGUAGCCAUUAUGCAGAGAAUUAUAUGCAAGUGUGAACUGUGCUGUUAAAGUUUAGAGUGAGAAUGUUUAUUCUGUCCAUGGUUCUUCCAGGGAAACUGUGAGCUUUCAAGGUAGCUAUGACCUUUUAGUGUCCAAAUAUGGCUGAACGGUGGUAAAACUGCUUGAGGAACAUGUUAUAGAUGGAAUCUGAUCAAAUAAAGAACCACUGCCCUAGCCAACUUUUGGAUCCCCAAGUUAUCUAGGAGAACUGUCCAGACCUUUGGUGUCCUUUGUAAUAGCCACUAGCCAUAUUUUGCAAUUUAAAUAUAAGUUAGUUAAAAUUUAGUAUCUUGUUUGCAGAAGCUACAUCUGAACUGCUCAUGGCUACCAUCAUUGCAGGAAGUUUUGUUGUGAAGUGUGGUCUGAGUGUAACUUUUUGUUUACCUUUCUGCCAUUUGGAUUUCUUCUGACAGGGGAAUAGAGGAGGAAAACAGAUCCUCCUUUUUUGCUAUUUAUAACCAUUUGGGUCUAUUUAGAAGUUUUAGAGGGCUGGGGAUGUGGCUCAAGCGGUAGCGCGCUCGCCUGGCAUGCGUGCGGCCUGGGUUUGAUCCUCAGCACCACAUACAAACAAAGAUGUUGUGUCCACCGAUAACUAAAAAAAAAAAAAAAACACUAUCGUGAUUCCCUGAAGAAAAAAAAAAGAAGUUUUAGAGUCUGUGCCUUGGAUAAUGGUCCUGUUAGGUUGCUGGAUGGCAGGAAGCACUCAGUGCUGAAUGGUGAACAGGUUUAGUUCUUGCUUUCAAGGAACAUUCCUUGUUGUCCAGUAGGCUCCAGAAAAUAAGAAAAGAUUAUACUUAGGACCAAAUCUUCAGUGACCAGUGUUGGAGCAAGGAGCCAAAAAUAGACCACAGUUGUUGGGGGUAAAUGUGGCAUCAGGUCAGGGCUGAGAAUGAAUGCACCCAUGACAUGCAAGGCAGCCUAGAAAGACUUAGAGUACUUUUUAAAAUCAUGAAAUAACCCCAAAAGGAAAAGACACUCAAGAGACAGUGUGAGCUAAUGAGUAAGUUGUAGGAAGAAAUGAAGGUCUAGGUCAAACAUGGAGUUUAACAGUUCUCAUAGAUUCCACCCUGCUUUCCAAGUUUCUUUUUCUAACUUUUCCCUCCUCAGGUGCGGUUUGGUCAACAAAAGAGAUACCAAGACUGGUUCCAGCGCCAGUAUUUGUCAACCCCAGACAGUCAGUCUCUACGCUGUGACCUCAUUCGCUACAUCUGUGGGGUAGUCCACCCUUCUAAUGAAGUGCUGAGUUCUGACAUCUUGCCUCGAUGGGCCAUCAUUGGUUGGCUCCUGACAACAUGCACGGUAGGGGGCUGGGCCACAGGGUAGAGGAUGUUGGACAGUGAAGGAUGCCUUCUGUAUUUCCAUGCUUCUUGCUGGACUCUCCAGGGCCAUUUGAUCCAUAAGGACCCUUCUUUCACUGUUGUCUUUCAAAUGUUUCAGGCUCUUAUUCCAUUACCUUUGUGUCUCAAGAAAUUUUGUUAGACUCAUUAUUUCUCAUCUGGGUUGGGGAUUCAAUAGGUCCAUCUAUCUCUUUAUUACUAACCCCCAAAAUCCUGGAUUUCUGAAGCAUUCUUGCCUUUUUCCUUUGAGCUUCUGGAUACCACAAAGUUAGGGCUUGCAUUCUUUAGACCCUCACCUCCGUGCUUCUGGCAUCAGCUUCGGAUAAAGGAGCCAUUUCCUUCCCAGCAUUUUCCUUCCUGUGUUGAGAUGGAAAACCAUCCAUUCUCUGACAUCUUCUGACAGGGUUUCCCCUUUCUUCUCUGAUUAGAUUCUUAGAAUGUACUGAUUCAAAUAUGACAAAAGACUAUUCCUAGAGGGCCUUUUCUUCAGAAAUGUGGGUGGGGGAGCCCACCAAGGGCAGCCCAGGGGCCAUCUGAGUAUUGCCUUGACUCAGAAGUAAUGAGUGAACUCCUAAGUCCAAGUGUUGUCCCUUAGGGGAGGAGAGGUAUAUCCUCCUGGGUGUGUGAGGAUCCCAGCCAGUCCCAUCCCCUUGGUUGGUAAGACCACAGGGUUCUCGUGCUCACAUGUAACACAGACGCAGAUCGUGGGGCUCCACCACGUUUCACUGGGACCUGAAUUUCACAGGUGCAGCAACAAAGUAAGCCCUGGAAUCUGCCCUGGGCUUCAGAAGGGAAGGGAGACGGUUGAUGAAAUUAGC
This 9587-nucleotide long non-coding RNA is filed under the name Marmota monax (woodchuck). The stretch from base 1362 to 1430 matches the Rfam family "tRNA". Lineage: Eukaryota; Metazoa; Chordata; Mammalia; Rodentia; Sciuridae. The record is from RNAcentral.